GACCUACAACCCCCAUGGUGCCAUGGCAACAAAAAAAGUGUAGAGGUGAGUAGAAACAAGAACAAGGUGACCUAAGCUGACUUCAAGACAAGAGUUUCAUCUGCAGCUUCCACUGUGGAUUUCUUUUUACCCUGGGGCCACUGUGACGCGCACACUGCUGUUUCUCUCUACAUGGGAUCCUGUGUCCUCUCCACCUUCUCAAUAAUUCAAUGGGAAGAGGAGACGUCAGCUCUGGUAUAAUUACUGUGAGGGUGACAAGCUCCUCUGUCAAGGGCAAGAUGGAACUGUGCUUUACAGUACUCGAGAGAGCUAAGAGACGCAGCAACAGUGUGUAGCGUGGCACAAAGCUUCAGCUGCCGGCCCGGGAGAUGAUGAAACUUCAGCGUGACAGAUUGCAGCCCAGAGGAAAACAUUGGGCAGCUGAGGAGCUGCAGCACAGACAGGUGAUUCCCUUCUAAUGGAUGUUAAUGUGGUGGACACGACGGAGGAUAUUCCCAGUGGUGUACACUUACAGUUAAUUGAUAAUUGAGGUCUAUGAAAAGAUGCACAUUAAAUCAUGGCCAAUGAGCCUGCCUAUAAGGUUGCAGCAAUUUAAAGAACAACUCUCUAGAGUCUCUUAAGGUUUCCUCACAACUGUAAUGCACUCUGAAUGAAUAAUUAAGGCGGAAAUAUGCUUAACUCAUAUUACCUUACUUAAGACAUUAUUAUUUCAAACAUGUACUGUAGCAUAUACAUGAUGUUGAAAUGCAUAAACACUUUCACCUACGCCAACUCCAGGUUGCUUCCUUCAUAACUCCUUAUGUUAAUGUUUGAUCUGAGCUUUCUAAUGAGCCCAUGUGUCUAGAUAUAAAUCUGUGAUUCGCUUGAGUUGAACGCUUUGUCAUAUUUUACCAUUAAUAAUCCUCAACAGGUUGCACAUGAAGCAUAUAUAUGUUUUUCCUGCUCUUUAUUACCAACUAGUACCAUACCAUAGAUAUGUGUCCGUUAGUAGAGGCAGUGCAUGAAAGCUUUUGAAUACACCACAUGCAUUUUAUAUUUACAGAUGCAAACACUCAUUUAAAACAUGUACUGCAUGUGCAUUUAUAAUGAGUUUUUGUAGCAGGGAGCCGGCAAUAGGAUGGAAAUCAUGAUAUUUAUAGCGAUUUGUCUUCAAAAUGAAUCUGUAUGAUCAUGCAAAUGUAUUGUAUGUACACACAUUCUCAGAAAUCAUACGUUUAAUAUAACAAAUAUACAUUUAGAUAUAAUGAUUCAAUAAUACAUUUCGUGCAAUAAGUUGUUUUCCACUGCCUCAUGACAUAAAGAAAAAUGUGUUCCUAGCUUGGAAUCAUUCAUUUAACCACGUCAAUGUAAAUAUAAAACCUCAUGAUGAAAAGUGUAUCAUAAUGUGUAUUGCUUAUACUUUUACUAUUAUUAUUUUUCUUUCAUCAUUAUUAUUGUUAUGUGCAUUGCUUCUUUGUCAUUAUGUGCUAUGGACAAAACUGAAAAGAAAGGAACAGAGUCAUCCUCACAUUUAAUAUAUUAGUGGAAUAAAGCGGAGUAACUUUGGUGCAUAUUAUUGAAUUAUAUAUAUAUAUAUAUAUAUAUAUGAUAUAUUAUUCACUAAAAGCAACAGACCUGGUGAAUGUGUGGUCGGAGGACUUUUGAAAACCAGGAGGACAUUUGUUCUUUGUUAUAACCUUUUGUUAAGCCAGCCUCUGUAUGAUGAAAGAAAACACCAAAUAAAUGCUGGUAAUCAUCUUGUCACAGGAAUCAAUAAAAAUAAAAAUCAUGAUGGUACUUUUACAGAAGAGACAGACAAGUGUUUUCUUUUCACAAGUGUUUUCUUUUCACUUCUUUUCUAUAUAGUUUUGCUGAGGCUUAGUUUGUCGGGGGACAUCUUACUUCUUCCUUCUCUCUGUCUAUACCUGUGUACUCUCAUGUUCCGAUU
This is a long non-coding RNA of Notothenia coriiceps (black rockcod), 1927 nucleotides long. RefSeq lists it as uncharacterized. The transcript is spliced from 3 exons. The record is from RefSeq and is a predicted model, not a curated record. NCBI's taxonomy places the organism in Eukaryota, Metazoa, Chordata, Actinopteri, Perciformes, Nototheniidae.